RNAcentral lists this ribosomal RNA (367 nucleotides) under uncultured bacterium. Its description in RNAcentral is "bacterial SSU rRNA". It matches the Rfam family "Bacterial small subunit ribosomal RNA", at positions 9 to 339 of the family's 1533-position model. The record is from RNAcentral.
GAGUUUGAUCGUGGCUCAGGAUGAACGCCGGCGGUGUGCCUAAUACAUGCAAGUCGUACGCACUGGCCCAACUGAUUAAUGGUGCUUGCACCUGAUUGACGAUGGAUCACCAGUGAGUGGCGGACGGGUGAGUAACACGUAGGUAACCUGCCCCGGAGCGGGGGAUAACAUUUGGAAACAGAUGCUAAUACCGCAUAACAACAAAAGCCACAUGGCUUUUGUUUGAAAGAUGGCUUUGGCUAUCACUCUGGGAUGGACCUGCGGUGCAUUAGCUAGUUGGUAAGGUAACGGCUUACCAAGGCGAUGAUGCAUAGCCGAGUUGAGAGACUGAUCGGCCACAAUGGAACUGAGACACGGUCCAUACUCC